Molecule: non-coding RNA, 47 nt
Filed under: Schistosoma mattheei
Lineage: Eukaryota; Metazoa; Platyhelminthes; Trematoda; Strigeidida; Schistosomatidae
Source: RNAcentral
AUCUAGCUGACGAGUCUCAAAAACAGGAUGAAACACGCAUCCUGGAU